GAUGAAGAACGUAGCGAAAUGCGAUAAGUAAUGUGAAUUGCAGAAUUCAGUGAAUCAACGAAUCUUUGAACGCACAUUGCGCCCCCUGGUAUUCCGGGGGGCAUGCCUGUUCGAGCGUCAUUUCACCACUCAAGCCUCGCUUGGUAUUGGGCAACGCGGUCCGCCGCGUGCCUCAAAUCGACCGGCUGGGUCUUCUGUCCCCUAAGCGUUGUGGAAACUAUUCGCUAAAGGGUGUUCGGGAGGCUACGCCGUAAAACAACCCCAUUUCUAAGGUUGACCUCGGAUCAGGUAGGGAUACCCGCUGAACUUAAGCAUAUCAAUAAGCGGAGGA
This 331-nucleotide unclassified non-coding RNA is filed under the name soil metagenome. RNAcentral describes it as "partial contains 5.8S ribosomal RNA, internal transcribed spacer 2, and large subunit ribosomal RNA". The stretch from base 1 to 120 matches the Rfam family "5.8S ribosomal RNA", at positions 35 to 154 of the family's 154-position model. The record is from RNAcentral.